AUUGAACGCUGGCGGCAGGCUUAACACAUGCAAGUCGAACGAUGAUUAUCUAGCUUGCUAGAUAUGAUUAGUGGCGGACGGGUGAGUAACAUUUAGGAAUCUGCCUAGUAGUGGGGGAUAGCUCGGGGAAACUCGAAUUAAUACCGCAUACGACCUACGGGUGAAAGGGGGCGCAAGCUCUUGCUAUUAGAUGAGCCUAAAUCAGAUUAGCUAGUUGGUGGGGUAAAGGCCCACCAAGGCGACGAUCUGUAACUGGUCUGAGAGGAUGAUCAGUCACACCGGAACUGAGACACGGUCCGGACUCCUACGGGAGGCAGCAGUGGGGAAUAUUGGACAAUGGGGGCAACCCUGAUCCAGCCAUGCCGCGUGUGUGAAGAAGGCCUUUUGGUUGUAAAGCACUUUAAGCAGGGAGGAGAGGCUAAUGGUUAAUACCCAUUAGAUUAGACGUUACCUGCAGAAUAAGCACCGGCUAACUCUGUGCCAGCAGCCGCGGUAAUACAGAGGGUGCGAGCGUUAAUCGGAAUUACUGGGCGUAAAGCGAGUGUAGGUGGCUCAUUAAGUCACAUGUGAAAUCCCCGGGCUUAACCUGGGAACUGCAUGUGAUACUGGUGGUGCUAGAAUAUGUGAGAGGGAAGUAGAAUUCCAGGUGUAGCGGUGAAAUGCGUAGAGAUCUGGAGGAAUACCGAUGGCGAAGGCAGCUUCCUGGCAUAAUAUUGACACUGAGAUUCGAAAGCGUGGGUAGCAAACAGGAUUAGAUACCCUGGUAGUCCACGCCGUAAACGAUGUCUACUAGCCGUUGGGGUCCUUGAGACUUUAGUGGCGCAGUUAACGCGAUAAGUAGACCGCCUGGGGAGUACGGCCGCAAGGUUAAAACUCAAAUGAAUUGACGGGGGCCCGCACAAGCGGUGGAGCAUGUGGUUUAAUUCGAUGCAACGCGAAGAACCUUACCUGGUCUUGACAUAGUGAGAAUCCUGCAGAGAUGCGGGAGUGCCUUCGGGAAUUCACAUACAGGUGCUGCAUGGCUGUCGUCAGCUCGUGUCGUGAGAUGUUGGGUUAAGUCCCGCAACGAGCGCAACCCUUUUCCUUAUUUGCCAGCGGGUUAAGCCGGGAACUUUAAGGAUACUGCCAGUGACAAACUGGAGGAAGGCGGGGACGACGUCAAGUCAUCAUGGCCCUUACGACCAGGGCUACACACGUGCUACAAUGGUAGGUACAGAGGGUUGCUACACAGCGAUGUGAUGCUAAUCUCAAAAAGCCUAUCGUAGUCCGGAUUGGAGUCUGCAACUCGACUCCAUGAAGUCGGAAUCGCUAGUAACCGCAGAUCAGAAUGCUGCGGUGAAUACGUUCCCGGGCCU
RNAcentral lists this ribosomal RNA (1355 nucleotides) under uncultured bacterium. RNAcentral describes it as "bacterial SSU rRNA". It matches the Rfam family "Bacterial small subunit ribosomal RNA", at positions 28 to 1381 of the family's 1533-position model. The record is from RNAcentral.